Molecule: ribosomal RNA, 211 nt
Filed under: uncultured Cyrtolophosididae
Lineage: Eukaryota; Ciliophora; Colpodea; Cyrtolophosidida; Cyrtolophosididae
Description: partial 18S ribosomal RNA
Rfam family: Eukaryotic small subunit ribosomal RNA
Source: RNAcentral
UGUGAUGCCCUUAGAUGUUCUGGGCCGCACGCGCGCUACACUGAUACGUGCAACAAGUUCUAUCCUGGUCCGGAAGGGAUCGGGUAAUCUUGACAAUGCGUAUCGUGAUAGGGAUAGAUCUUUGGAAUUAUAGAUCUUGAACGAGGAAUUCCUAGUAAGCAUAAUUCAUCAACUUGUGCUGAUUACGUCCCUGCCCUUUGUACACACCGCA